Molecule: ribosomal RNA, 199 nt
Filed under: uncultured bacterium
Lineage: Bacteria
Description: partial 16S ribosomal RNA
Rfam family: Bacterial small subunit ribosomal RNA
Source: RNAcentral
AGGCUGCAACUCGCCUGCAUGAAGCUGGAAUUGCUAGUAAUCGCGGAUCAGCAAGCCGCGGUGAAUACGUUCCCGGGCCUUGUACACACCGCCCGUCACACCAUGAGAGUCGGGAACACCCGAAGUCCGUAGUCUAACCGCAAGGGGGGCGCGGCCGAAGGUGGGUCCGGUAAUUGGGGUGAAGUCGUAACAAGGUAAC